AACUUUCGACAAUGGAUCACUUGGCUCUCGCAUCGAUGAAGAACGCAGCGAAAUGCGAUACGUAAUGUGCAUUGCAGGAUUCCGUGAAUAAUCGAAUCUUUGAACGCACCUUGCGCCUCUUGGUAUUCCGAGGGGCAUGCCUGUUUGAGUGUCAUUGAAUCAUCAAAAGAAAAGCUUUAACGGUUUCUCUUUUGGUAUUGGAGUGUGCUGGCCUUUUGCUUGUCAUGAAUCCCAGCUCCUCUGAAAUACAUUAGCGAUGCAACGUCCGCAUGGCACCACGCCUUUCCGGCAUUGAUAGUAUUCUUCAUGCCUGGGUGUGCUGUGCAGCUGUGGAAAGUUUUGCUCGCUCAUAGCUGGACGGGUCGACCCCAUCCCUUGACCAAUUUAACCUCAAAUCAGGUAGGAUUACCCGCUGAACUUAAGCAUAUCAAUAAGCGGAGGCU
Molecule: unclassified non-coding RNA, 443 nt
Filed under: uncultured Hygrocybe
Lineage: Eukaryota; Fungi; Basidiomycota; Agaricomycetes; Agaricales; Hygrophoraceae
Description: sequence contains ITS2
Rfam family: 5.8S ribosomal RNA (bases 1-154)
Source: RNAcentral